GAUGAACGCUGGCGGCGUGCCUAAUACAUGCAAGUAGAACGCUGAAGGAAGGAGCUUGCUCUUUCCGGAUGAGUUGCGAACGGGUGAGUAACGCGUAGGUAACCUGCCUGGUAGCGGGGGAUAACUAUUGGAAACGAUAGCUAAUACCGCAUAACAGUAGAUGUUGCAUGAUAUCUACUUAAAAGGUGCAAUUGCACCACUACCAGAUGGACCUGCGUUGUAUUAGCUAGUUGGUGAGGUAACGGCUCACCAAGGCGACGAUACAUAGCCGACCUGAGAGGGUGAUCGGCCACACUGGGACUGAGACACGGCACAGACUCCUACGGGAGGCAGCAGUAGGGAAUCUUCGGCAAUGGACGGAAGUCUGACCGAGCAACGCCGCGUGAGUGAAGAAGGGUUUCGGAUCGUAAAGCUCUGUUGUAAGAGAAGAACGAGUGUGAGAGUGGAAAGUUCACACUGUGACGGUAUCUUACCAGAAAGGGACGGCUAACUACGUG
This 497-nucleotide ribosomal RNA is filed under the name uncultured bacterium. Its description in RNAcentral is "partial 16S ribosomal RNA". It matches the Rfam family "Bacterial small subunit ribosomal RNA", at positions 28 to 507 of the family's 1533-position model. The record is from RNAcentral.